This is a long non-coding RNA of Alexandromys fortis (reed vole), 413 nucleotides long. RefSeq lists it as uncharacterized. The record is from RefSeq and is a predicted model, not a curated record. The transcript is spliced from 4 exons. Lineage: Eukaryota; Metazoa; Chordata; Mammalia; Rodentia; Cricetidae.
AGAAACAGACAUCUCUGCUGGGAAACCCUCUUAGCAGAGUGGAGCAGAGCUCAGCUGUAGUGGCUCUCUGUUGGAGAGGAGCAGGAUUGCCACAUCCUGUAGGGAGACCAUCCCCCACCAGAACCAAGCUUCAGCCUCAAACCUCUUCUUCCUGCUGUGAGUCAAGAUGUGUGGACUCUCAGCUACUUCUCCAGCACUGUGUCUGUUUGCAUGCCACAGUGUCACGCCAUGAUAAUGGACUAAACUUCUGAAAACUGCUUGGGACUUCUUCUCUUCAACUAACAGGACCAUGGGCCUGAAAGUUCCAAAGGUCAAUUUCUAAAUGGAAGACAUAGCUGGAUCAUGUGUCAUUCUGAGAAUCAUGGCCAUGUUGUUCAUGAUGUGUCAACAAUUCUUGAUGGAUAUCAAAGAGG